CCACAGGCUUAGCAGAAGCUACACCCGGAUUCCUGCAGCUGAACGGAUGUAACCGGCAUUUGGACUUUUCUAUUCAGUUACCUCCUUGUGGUCUGCAUGUAGGCUGUGAUUCUGCGGGGCUCUGCUGGAUCAGCUUGCUUGAUUCCAGGCCCAGGUCUGUUGUAGGUAUCUCCUCAUCCUGGGACCAUUGGCUACGCAAGGUUUGAUCUUCUCACGGUCGAUGGCAGAAGUUCAAGAGAUCAAGCAGAGUCACAGAGGCACAUUUAAAGCCUCUGCUUCUAUUGCAUCUACUCACACUACUGGCCACAGCAAGUCACAUGACCAAGACUGACAACCACGGGUCAGAAAGAACACUCUACCCACAGUGAGAAAAUGUCAAAGAUCUUCACCAGCUGGGUUCCGAUGCCUUUGUUCAAUAAAGGUGGCUCACAUAGGCUAGCUCUAUUCCUACUGCGAGGAGAGGCGUAUGACCCAGACCUGGCCAAUCAAAACAUCCUUGCUCAAGGUGGACCAAUCAGAGCCAGUGAGAAUCCUGGGACUUGUGCUACGACUACUGGAAAUGAGAACUUUUUUGAUUGGAAUUCGUUAAAGAACGAGAUAUAAACCUGCUUAUGGUUAUCUUCCCGCUCCAUGGGAAGAGUACUCUCGAAGGAAGACAGGACAGAGAAAGACAGCCAAGAAGUGGAGGAAGACAGAUUCCUGAUGAGAUCACUUGAAUUCUUGAGUCUAAUUAUGCCUGAAGUUUUACUCAUCAAUUAGGCAAGCUAAUCAAUUUUAAUUUUUUGCUUAAGUCCGUUUUGUUGGCCACUUGCCUCCAAAAGAGUCUUAAACACUUGUGUUUUAUAACUUUCAGUAAAGUCUCAUAUGUAGGAGAGCAUGUGCAACAGCAGCAUUACCCAUGUCUACAAUAAUAGAUCAGCCCUUUUUCUCUCGUGUUCUCAGUGGUCACCAUUGUAUAAUGGACUGUCUUCAGGUAGGUGCACCUGCUCCAGGCCACAGCUCAUCAGAGGGCCUUGGCCCAGCAUAUCUCCUGUCUUUCCAAGAAUUGUCAUUGCUAGAAUUACUCAUGGUUGUCCCAUAUUCAAACUCUGUGGAUAUGGGAUUUGUGCUAUGCCCUGUCCUCCCCCUGCUCUACCCCAGGGGCUCAGUAGUUCCUUGUGAAUGUAGUUGUGCUUAUCUGUGCCCUAGAGAAUUCAGAAUGAGAUUUCCUGGCAGCUGGCCACUGGUAUCUUCUCCCAGCCUUGCAUCUCUAAGAUCUUGGGUCCAUUUCUAGUUCUUUCUUUGUCUUGCUCAGAUUAAGCAAUCACCGGGGCGCCUGGGUGGCUCAGUCGGUUAAGCGUCCGA
Long non-coding RNA from Leopardus geoffroyi (Geoffroy's cat), 1344 nucleotides. RefSeq lists it as uncharacterized. The transcript has 4 exons. The record is from RefSeq and is a predicted model, not a curated record. Lineage: Eukaryota; Metazoa; Chordata; Mammalia; Carnivora; Felidae.